RNAcentral lists this microRNA (22 nucleotides) under Mus musculus (house mouse). Its description in RNAcentral is "mmu-miR-3063-3p". Lineage: Eukaryota; Metazoa; Chordata; Mammalia; Rodentia; Muridae. The record is from miRBase by way of RNAcentral.
UGAGGAAUCCUGAUCUCUCGCC